RNAcentral lists this long non-coding RNA (248 nucleotides) under Prunus persica (peach). Its description in RNAcentral is "long non-coding RNA (PPER_LNC004450)". The record is from RNAcentral. Lineage: Eukaryota; Viridiplantae; Streptophyta; Magnoliopsida; Rosales; Rosaceae.
AGGACUGUACUCGCCACACACAUAUUAUUCACCCUUGCAGAAUAGACCUUUGACUACGGGAAACAAAUCUCAAACCCAGAUUCCAUUUUAUACCUGCAACAGACAUCUUUUGCUUAAGAAAGAGAAGUGAUACCUGCUUACAGUAUUAUGAACACAUUAAGAUACAAAAGUGAUACCUGCUCACAAUAUUAUCUACACAUUUUCAUCACAUUAAUAUACAUAAUUAAUACAUACAAACACAAUUUUUA